UCUUAAUCUUCCUACAAGCAUAUUGGCUGCAUCUAUUGUAUGCUGGACUCGGGACUGUGAUCUUCUCAGUUCCCAAGCAGGAACCAGGAGCCAGGGAGAGCAAAUACCUGAAUUCCUUGUACCUGGUGAUGGAUGUGCAGC
This is a long non-coding RNA of Lemur catta (Ring-tailed lemur), 141 nucleotides long. RefSeq lists it as uncharacterized. The transcript is spliced from 4 exons. NCBI's taxonomy places the organism in Eukaryota, Metazoa, Chordata, Mammalia, Primates, Lemuridae. The record is from RefSeq and is a predicted model, not a curated record.